GUCUAUGAACUACUGACACAUUUUUCCCCCUUCUUUAAUACAGAGAGAAUUCCCUAAAUUUUUUACAUUCCGAGCAAGGGAUAAGUUUGAGGAGGAUCGUAUCUAUCGUCAUCUGGAGCCUGCUCUGGCUUUCCAGUUAGAGCUGAACCGGAUGAGAAAUUUUGACCUCACUGCCAUUCCAUGCGCUAAUCACAAGAUGCACCUGUAUCUCGGGGCAGCCAAGGUGGAAGUGGGCACAGAAGUGACAGACUACAGGUUCUUUGUUCGUGCAAUCAUCAGGCAUUCUGAUCUGGUCACCAAGGAAGCUUCUUUUGAAUAUCUCCAAAAUGAAGGGGAGCGGCUACUCCUGGAAGCCAUGGAUGAGUUGGAAGUUGCUUUUAACAAUACAAAUGUCCGCACUGACUGUAACCACAUCUUCCUCAACUUUGUGCCCACGGUUAUCAUGGACCCAUCAAAGAUUGAGGAAUCCGUGCGGAGCAUGGUAAUGCGGUAUGGAAGUCGCCUGUGGAAAUUGCGCGUCCUCCAGGCAGAACUGAAAAUCAACAUUCGCCUGACGCCAACUGGAAAAGCAAUUCCCAUCCGCCUCUUCCUGACAAACGAGUCUGGCUAUUACUUGGAUAUCAGCCUAUACAAGG
Molecule: small RNA, 635 nt
Filed under: Pan troglodytes (chimpanzee)
Lineage: Eukaryota; Metazoa; Chordata; Mammalia; Primates; Hominidae
Description: retained intron
Source: RNAcentral